AAAUCGUUGAAAUUUUUAAUUUCGAGUUUUGACCGUUUUUGAGCAAUGUAUAUAAAUGUCUACAACUUCAGUAAUUUUCAAAGUCUAAUCUUGCUUAAUUACGUCAUACGUGACGUCACGAAACGUAUCACAAGCGGUACAACUGGCAAACACCGUUUUCACGAAGUGGCCUCUUACGCGCAAAUGUAGUCUGCUAUUGAUAAUCGUACACGAACCGGCUCCGCGAAGCCUUUGUCACAGAUGCCGGUGCUUCUGGCGGAAUUGUUAGAGGAAUCUGACAGCCCUAGAAUAGCCGGCUGAGAGGACCAUCACUAGCACUCCCAGGCCCAGUGGCUGAUGUCUAAGUAGGAGUUUGACGUGGAGAGCUUUUAGCAUGUUGUUGAGUUUACCAGUAGAAUAGACAGCUGGGAUACGCAAGAGAUGAGGGACCACUAGCACCCCCAGUGGUUGAUGUCCAUGUAGGAGUUUGUGCAGCUGAUGUGGAGAGCUUUUAGCAAAUUGACAAGCAUCUUCACCCUCUGCCCUUGAACUGAUUGCUUUUCCAAUACCACGGUUUGGAGGUCAGACCAAACGACUGACAGACCGACCGACUGAAUAGCUAAGUCCCCUCAGUCAUCAAAGGAUGGACAAAAAUACAGAAGUUAUUGUUAGGUGGGAUCGUGAUGGAGAGAUCAAUUGUGGCAAGAAACGAGAUCUUCGAUAUAACGGAAGGCGUAGGGUGGGUUCAAGAGUCACUAUGAGCUAGAUGGAUGUGGACUGGACAGGGACUGCAACACUGACAGGAGACUCUGACUCCGAAUGUGCCUCCAUUUAGAGGUUUUGUGGUCUAAUGGAUAAGUCGUUGGACUGUGGAUCACAGGAUCCAUGGUUCAAGUCCCGCCACAGCAGUAAUGUCUUUUGGCAAGAUAUUAAUCUACAUUUGCCACUCUGCUGUGAGCACCGAAAGCGGCUGCCUAGCAGAGCCAGGGUAAUAGUUAAGGCGCGUUGAGCAUAUUGUUAUUAUUAUUUUGACAGUGACAACCUCCCUCCUUCCUCACUAAGAACAGCACAGACUAAGGUCAUCCAUCAUAUGAAAGUUGCAUGUAAGAAGUUUUAAUCCCAUAAACUUACAGUGUUGUAUGUUUUUAGAAGGAUUUGGCAUGUAGGACUAAUAUUAAUUGCUAAUAGUUUAUAUUUCAAAGGGCAAUCCAACCUCUGUAAACAAGUUGAUUUAUGUUAAAGCAGAACAAAAUGAGUGUAAUAGACUGGUGAAAGUUUGAAAGAAAUCAGACAUAGAAUAAGAAAUAAUGUUUGAAAAGUUAGAUUACAACAUCUAUGUAAAUCUCAGAUCUGCAAUUUUAUGAGGCAACAGGGACGUAUGCAGCUGACAACUUUGUAUGUCAUACACAAAAAA
RNAcentral lists this long non-coding RNA (1393 nucleotides) under Strongylocentrotus purpuratus (purple sea urchin). RNAcentral describes it as "uncharacterized LOC115924469, transcript variant X3". Lineage: Eukaryota; Metazoa; Echinodermata; Echinoidea; Camarodonta; Strongylocentrotidae. The record is from RNAcentral.